UACGUAGGGUGCGAGCGUUAAUCGGAAUUACUGGGCGUAAAGCGUGCGCAGGCGGUUUUGUAAGCCAGAUGUGAAAUCCCCGGGCUUAACCUGGGAAUGGCAUUCGGGACUGCAAGGCUGGAGUGCGGCAGAGGAGACUGGAAUUCCUGGUGUAGCAGUGAAAUGCGUAGAUAUCGGAAGGAACACCGGUGGCGAAGGCGGAUGCCUGGCCCAAUACUGACGCUGAGGCACGAAAGCGUGGGUAGCGAACAGG
RNAcentral lists this ribosomal RNA (253 nucleotides) under uncultured bacterium. RNAcentral describes it as "partial 16S ribosomal RNA". It matches the Rfam family "Bacterial small subunit ribosomal RNA", at positions 524 to 776 of the family's 1533-position model. The record is from RNAcentral.